RNAcentral lists this ribosomal RNA (374 nucleotides) under uncultured organism. RNAcentral's name for it is "partial 16S ribosomal RNA". It matches the Rfam family "Bacterial small subunit ribosomal RNA", at positions 527 to 896 of the family's 1533-position model. The record is from RNAcentral.
GUAGGUGGCAAGCGUUGUCCGGAAUUAUUGGGCGUUAAAGCGCGCGCAGGCGGUUCUUUAAGUCUGAUGUGAAAGCCCACGGGCUCAACCGUGGAGGGUCAUUGGAAACUGGAGAACUUGAGUACAGAAGAGGAAAGCGGAAUUCCACGUGUAGCGGUGAAAUGCGUAGAGAUGUGGAGGAACACCAGUGGCGAAGGCGGCUUUCUGGUCUGUAACUGACGCUGAGGCGCGAAAGCGUGGGGAGCAAACAGGAUUAGAUACCCUGGUAGUCCACGCCGUAAACGACGAGUGCUAAGUGUUAGGGGGUUUCCGCCCCUUAGUGCUGCAGCUAACGCAUUAAGCACUCCGCCUGGGGAGUACGGCCGCAAAGGCUG